GUUGGGAAAUGAUGAGAAAAUUUAUUCUGUAUCAGAGGCUCAGAAAUCUGUGCUUUGCUGAGUUAUUUUUGCACGUCAGUCUGAUCCCAAU
This 91-nucleotide small nucleolar RNA is filed under the name Ipomoea nil (Japanese morning glory). RNAcentral's name for it is "Small nucleolar RNA Z122". It matches the Rfam family "Small nucleolar RNA Z122". Rfam says of the family: Z122 is a member of the C/D class of snoRNA which contain the C (UGAUGA) and D (CUGA) box motifs. The record is from Rfam by way of RNAcentral. Lineage: Eukaryota; Viridiplantae; Streptophyta; Magnoliopsida; Solanales; Convolvulaceae.